GAUGAACGCUGGCGGCGUGCCUAAUACAUGCAAGUCGAGCGAACAGACGAGGAGCUUGCUCCUCUGACGUUAGCGGCGGACGGGUGAGUAACACGUGGAUAACCUACCUAUAAGACUGGGAUAACUUCGGGAAACCGGAGCUAAUACCGGAUAAUAUAUUGAACCGCAUGGUUCAAUAGUGAAAGACGGUUUUGCUGUCACUUAUAGAUGGAUCCGCGCCGCAUUAGCUAGUUGGUAAGGUAACGGCUUACCAAGGCAACGAUGCGUAGCCGACCUGAGAGGGUGAUCGGCCACACUGGAACUGAGACACGGUCCAGACACCUACGGGAGGCAGCAGUAGGGAAUCUUCCGCAAAGGGCGAAAGCUUGACGGAGCAACGCCGCGUGAGUGAUGAAGGUCUUCGGAUCGUAAAACUCUGUUAUUAGGGAAGAACAAAUGUGUAAGUAACUAUGCACGUCUUGACGGUACCUAAUCAGAAAGCCACGGCUAACUACGUG
Molecule: ribosomal RNA, 497 nt
Filed under: uncultured bacterium
Lineage: Bacteria
Description: partial 16S ribosomal RNA
Rfam family: Bacterial small subunit ribosomal RNA
Source: RNAcentral